CUACGGGACGCUGCAGUGGGGAAUAUUGGACAAUGGGGGAAACCCUGAUCCAGCAAUGCCGCGUGUGUGAAGAAGGCCUGCGGGUUGUAAAGCACUUUCGGUUGGGAGGACUGCUUCUAGCACUAAUAUUGUUGGAAGUUGACGUUACCUUCAGAAGAAGCACCGGCUAACUCCGUGCCAGCAGCCGCGGUAAUACGGAGGGUGGCAGGCGUUAAUCGGAAUUACUGGGCGUAAAGCGCGCGUAGGCGGCUAGAUCAGUCGGGUGUGAAAGCCCCGGGCUUAACCUGGGAACUGCAUCCGAUACUGUCUAGCUUGAGUACAGGAGAGGAGAGUGGAAUUCCACAUGUAGCGGUGAAAUGCGUAGAUAUGUGGAGGAACACCAAUGGCGAAGGCAGCUCUCUGGCCUGAUACUGACGCUGAGGUGCGAAAGCGUGGGGAGCAAACAGGAUUAGAUACCCGAGUAGUC
RNAcentral lists this ribosomal RNA (466 nucleotides) under uncultured bacterium. RNAcentral describes it as "partial 16S ribosomal RNA". It matches the Rfam family "Bacterial small subunit ribosomal RNA", at positions 339 to 795 of the family's 1533-position model. The record is from RNAcentral.